RNAcentral lists this ribosomal RNA (496 nucleotides) under uncultured bacterium. RNAcentral's name for it is "partial 16S ribosomal RNA". It matches the Rfam family "Bacterial small subunit ribosomal RNA", at positions 28 to 507 of the family's 1533-position model. The record is from RNAcentral.
GAUGAACGCUGGCGGCGUGCCUAAUACAUGCAAGUCGAGCGAACAGACGAGGAGCUUGCUCCUCUGACGUUAGCGGCGGACGGGUGAGUAACACGUGGAUAACCUACCUAUAAGACUGGGAUAACUUCGGGAAACCGGAGCUAAUACCGGAUAAUAUAUUGAACCGCAUGGUUCAAUAGUGAAAGACGGUUUUGCUGUCACUUAUAGAUGGAUCCGCGCCGCAUUAGCUAGUUGGUAAGUUAACGGCUUACCAAGGCGACGAUGCGUAGCCGACCUGGGAGGGGAGUGGCCCAACCGGAAACGGGACACGGGUCCGAAGCCGCAGGGAGGGACGAGUGGGGAAUUCUUCCGAAAGGGGGAAAAGCUUGACGAGCCAAGGCGGGGGGAGGGAAGAAGGGCGGCGGUUCGUAAAACAUUGUUAUUGGGAAAAAAAAAAUGUGUAAUAAACGUUGCCCGUUUGAAGGUAACCUAUAAAGAAGCCCCGGCUAAAUCCGUG